GAUGAACGCUGGCGGCGUGCCUAAUACAUGCAAGUCGAGCGAACCACUUCGGUGGUGAGCGGCGAACGGGUGAGUAACACGUAGGAAUCUACCUAGUAGUGGGGGGAUAGCUCGGGGGAAACUCGAAUUAAUACCGCAUACGACCUACGGGUGAAAGGGGGCGCAAGCUCUUGCUAUUAGAUGAGCCUAAAUCAGAUUAGCUAGUUGGUGGGGUAAAGGCCUACCAAGGCGACGAUCUGUAACUGGUCUGAGAGGAUGAUCAGUCACACCGGAACUGAGACACGGUCCGGACUCCUACGGGAGGCAGCAGUGGGGAAUAUUGGACAAUGGGGGCAACCCUGAUCCAGCCAUGCCGCGUGUGUGAAGAAGGCCUUUUGGUUGUAAAGCACUUUAAGCAGGGAGGAGAGGCUAAUGGUUAAUACCCAUUAGAUUAGACGUUACCUGCAGAAUAAGCACCGGCUAACUCUGUGCCAGCAGCCGCGGUAAAUAGCGUACU
RNAcentral lists this ribosomal RNA (496 nucleotides) under uncultured bacterium. Its description in RNAcentral is "bacterial SSU rRNA". It matches the Rfam family "Bacterial small subunit ribosomal RNA", at positions 28 to 536 of the family's 1533-position model. The record is from RNAcentral.